Molecule: ribosomal RNA, 57 nt
Filed under: uncultured bacterium
Lineage: Bacteria
Description: partial 16S ribosomal RNA
Source: RNAcentral
CCGUAACCCGGACCUUAAGGGAGGGANCCGUCGAAGGUGGGUACCGUGAUUGGGGUG